CCUACGGGUGACAGCAGUAGGGAAUCUUCCACAAUGGGCGAAAGCCUGAUGCAGCAACGCCGCGUGGGUGAAGAAGGUCUUCGGAACGUAAAACCCUGUUGUUAGAGAAGAAAGUGCGUGAGCGUAACUGUUCACGUUUCGACGGUAUCUAACCAGAAACCCACGGCUAACUACGUGCCAGCAGCCGCGGGAAUACGUAGGUGGCAAGCGUUAUCCGGAUGUAUUGGGCGUAAGGGGAACGCAGGCGGUCUUUUAAGUCUGAUGUGAAAGCCGUCGGCUUAACCGGAGUAGUGCAUUGGAAACUGGGAGACUUGAGUGCAGGAGAGGAGAGUGGAACUCCAUGUGUAGCGGUGAAAUGCGUAGAUAUAUGGAAGAACACCAGUGGCGAAGGCGGCUCUCUGGUCUGUAACUGACGCUGAGGUUCGAAAGCGUGGGUAGCAAACAGGAUUAGAUACCCUAGUAGUC
Molecule: ribosomal RNA, 465 nt
Filed under: uncultured bacterium
Lineage: Bacteria
Description: partial 16S ribosomal RNA
Rfam family: Bacterial small subunit ribosomal RNA
Source: RNAcentral